Long non-coding RNA from Canis lupus familiaris (dog), 571 nucleotides. RefSeq lists it as uncharacterized. The record is from RefSeq and is a predicted model, not a curated record. The transcript has 4 exons. NCBI's taxonomy places the organism in Eukaryota, Metazoa, Chordata, Mammalia, Carnivora, Canidae.
CUAACUCAAAGGCUCUUCUCUGUCUGGAAGGAUCUCCCGAAUAAGAGAGAAAUCAGCCUCACACCCUCCUCAGGAACAAGUUGGUUUUAGUCUGUUCACAUCAUCAAACGUUUAUCGCUUACGAAGUUUGGAGUCCGUGCUUUGUAAACCUGGUCCUUGGAAAUCUCAGAGGUGUCAGAUGUUAUGGCUUUAAUACUCAGUGUAGAAAACAAUCUGGCAAUUUUUGCUGGCUUCAACGAGUGUAGACAUCCAUCCGUUACUUGUUUGGUGCACUAGGGAAAUGAAGUGUCCUGAGCAAGUGGUGCUUUUCCUAGUGUACAAAGAGAUGCCACAGGAACUGGGGUCUAUCAAAGUAGACAUCCCUAAUUAGACAAGACAAGAGAAGGGCAUUCCAAGUGAAAGGAAUGAUUGUGCAAGAUGUGGACUGGCAUGGUGCCCUGGGGAAAUGGUAGCCAGUUCCGUGUGCUCGGAUUGGAGGGCUCUUGGCUGAGGUGGUGCCAUGGCAAGGAGACUGCAAAGAGAGAGAGUGAGAAAGCAGAGGAACGAACGGCAGGGGGAGAGGGAGAGAGAG